GUGUUCCUACGGGGGGCAGCAGUGAGGAAUAUUGGUCAAUGGGCGGAAGCCUGAACCAGCCAAGUCGCGUGAGGGAAUAAGGCCCUACGGGUCGUAAACCUCUUUUGCCGGGGAGCAAGGGCCGGGACGCGUCCCGGCCCGGAGAGUACCCGGAGAAAAAGCAUCGGCUAACUCCGUGCCAGCAGCCGCGGUAAUACGGAGGGUGCAAGCGUUACUCGGAAUCACUGGGCGUAAAGAGCGCGUAGGCGGGUGGUCAAGUCAGCUGUGAAAUCCUGUAGCUUAACUACAGAACUGCAUUUGAAACU
RNAcentral lists this ribosomal RNA (305 nucleotides) under uncultured bacterium. RNAcentral describes it as "bacterial SSU rRNA". It matches the Rfam family "Bacterial small subunit ribosomal RNA", at positions 333 to 634 of the family's 1533-position model. The record is from RNAcentral.